AAGUUUUGUAAUGCUGAAGAAUCAGGAACCGAGUGAGGGGAACACAGUUUAUCCUCUUGGGCGAAUAAAAUGGUUGAAACAAAGAACUUCAUUGUUUUCUUCACAUAUCAAGCAAUAUUAGAACAUAUAAAAUCAAUUAGAAAAAUAAUCGAAAAGCUCUUUGAUUCAAUAUGAAUGAGGAAAUUUGAACAAUCUUCAAUUUCCAUUCUCGUUUCCUUAGCUUAAUUUAUUUCAAUUUUUAUUGAAGUCUCUAUGUAUGUAUUUUCUUCAAUUUUUAGACUAGUCUUCUCAGGAUUUUCUUGCUUAGUUUCAUCAACUUCUUUUUCUAGAAUAAGUUCUUCAACAUAUGCUUCUAGAACUGGUUCCUUAACAUGUGAAGAUUCAACAACGAAAACUUCGGGUUCUUCCAAAUCAGAAUCUUCAAAUUGCUCGUUUUGUUCUUCAACUUUAUCUCUGAGUUGCUCUUCUAGUUUUUAAUCUUGAAUAUUUCUUUAAAUUGAACAUUUUAAGCUAGCAUCAUAAACAAUGAUUAGAACUUAUUUGUGAUUGAGUUUGCCAAUGUUCAUGUUGAAACAUAUAGUUUGUCUUCCAUGCUUCAAGUUCUCUUUUCCUAGUUUGUUGUUGAAUAUGUUGAAUCUGAUAUUCCUUCUUCCAUGCUUCAAGUUCUCUCUCCCUAGCUUGUUACAGUUGUUUGAUAAUUUGACAUUCAUAAAAUAAUUUGGGCGGACAAUAUAUAACACCACCAUAUGAAUCCCUUAAAUAGCAUAUUUCAUCUAGUUGUAUCUUGUACUCAUUGAUUUCAGCUUGUAAUUUUUGAAUUUCAAUCCAUAUAAAUGCCUUAAAAUCAUUGAUUGCAGUUUUUACUCUUUCAUUUUUAAUCUACUUCAUUAGUCUCGCUGAAAACACAAUUUAAAGCGGUUACCAGUCUUUAGGAGUUGUUUUUGCCAAAAUGGAUGCCCAAAUUAGAAUCGGUGCAUUGAAAUUAGUAGACAGAGGUCCUAUCAAAAUUUUGUUGAAGUGGCACCGGGCUGGCAUUGUUUGUUGAGAUGGUAGUAAUGUUGUGUUGGCAUGGCAGGCUAAUGUGGCAUCUAUAUGCUGACAUGGUUGAUGAGCUAACUAACAUGGUGGAUGAGCUAGCACUAACAUUUCUUGAGAGUGGAGGACAAUCAGGUGCUUGGCGGCUCACAGGUGCUAGGUCAGCUUGCCUUGCUGAUACGGUGGAUCCUUGACUUGACCUGGUUGGAUCUCACUGUAGGAAGCCGUUCAGACACGAGGAACGGUGUCGCUUGCAUAUGGCGAGCUUUCUAGAAGAUCUAAGAAGUGGGAAGUUGAAAAUUGAUUCAGGUCAGACCCUGAUUGUUGGGUUCUCUCGUUUUGAGCUUCUUAUGGCUGCCAGAGUUGCGCCAUUUGAAUUGCCUUAGGCCAAGGAGAAGUUUGGUGAAGACGGCGGGGUGAUUCGGUGAAGGGAGAGUGGUGGGUGGAGAACAGAAGGUGGGUCUUAGCGAUGCUCUGUUUCGUGAUUUUUUUUUCCUUAAUCAGAAUGCGGGAACUAAUCUGGAAGGGAAUUUUCAAAAGAAGACAAUUUUUUUUUUCAAAAUAGAAAGAACGAUAAACUGAGGGAAGGGAGUUUUUGCCGGAAGUAGAUGGUUUUGAUUGCUCAUAGGCAAUUCAAAGGGCUUUGAUGCCAAAUUGAUGUAGAACAAGAAAAACAAGAAUCAAGAGAAACAAAUUCUCAAGACACAAAGGAAGAGAAACACAUUCUCAAAUUUUUUAUAAAUUCUUAAUAAUAACAUCAUAAUAAGUUCUAAGAAAAAUGCCCAAAUUACAUAGGUUUUUAUAGACUAGCAAUCCUACUACUAUCAGGAUUAAGAAAUCCUAUUCAAAUACUAAUUAGGAAUCCUAAUUAAAAUAUACUACAAAAAUAAUAACUAACCUAAUACUCAUAGAAUUUCUAAAUAAUAAAAAUUUGAACUUCCUAAUUCUACAAAGACAAUAGUUCCUAAACUUUCAAUACUGCAUCAAUUUACUAAUUGAAUUUGAACCUGAUGGUACCUCUCAACAUUUUUAGCUUUUCAUGUUUAUAAGCAGAUAAAUUAGACAAUAAGAGGCAAUGGAUUUCAAAAGCUCUGCAAGGACAAACCAUUUAGAAAAUAGGUAGUGCUUCCUUACCUUGUUCUGCCAAAAAAUUUGCUUUUUCCUACCCCUUAAGUGAUGUACACCUCUCUC
Molecule: unclassified non-coding RNA, 2226 nt
Filed under: Hevea brasiliensis (rubber tree)
Lineage: Eukaryota; Viridiplantae; Streptophyta; Magnoliopsida; Malpighiales; Euphorbiaceae
Source: RNAcentral